Molecule: long non-coding RNA, 288 nt
Organism: Cynoglossus semilaevis (tongue sole)
Lineage: Eukaryota; Metazoa; Chordata; Actinopteri; Pleuronectiformes; Cynoglossidae
Exons: 3
Source: RefSeq, a predicted model, not a curated record
ACAGGGAACCGAGGGAGAUCUGUAGAACACAGCGCAAUAUAGACAAAAGUUAAAACAAAUGUCAGAAACACAAAUUAAACAAGUAAUGGUCUCUGUUACCAUUUUCAGACAGACCCACGCCAUUUUGAGUCCGUAAAGCACCGCAGCCUGUACAUCAUACUGCUUAUUAUUCUGUUCUCUGGGAUUCCAUUCAUAUAAAACAGUGACAGGCUGUGGAAUUUUGCUGAAUGGCUGGGUCCCAGGGGCAACAGUCUGAGCAGGGACACCCAGACUUCUCUCUCCCCAGAC